UACAGAGGGGGCAAGCGUUGUUCGGAAUUACUGGGCGUAAAGGGCGCGUAGGCGGCCUGCUAAGUCGAACGUGAAAUCCCUGGGCUCAACCCAGGAACUGCGUCCGAUACUGGUUGGCUUGAAUCCGGGAGAGGGAUGUGGAAUUCCAGGUGUAGCGGUGAAAUGCGUAGAUAUCGGGAGGAACACCAAUGGCGAAGGCAGCUCGCUGGGACGGUACUGACGCUGAGACGCGAAAGCGUGGGGAGCAAACAGG
Molecule: ribosomal RNA, 253 nt
Filed under: uncultured bacterium
Lineage: Bacteria
Description: partial 16S ribosomal RNA
Rfam family: Bacterial small subunit ribosomal RNA
Source: RNAcentral